UUUAGCCUUCGGGCGAAGAUUUUAGUGGCGAACGGGUGCGUAACACGUGAGAAUCUGCCUUUAGGAAAAGGAUAACUACUAGAAAUAGUAACUAAUACUUUAUAUGCCUUAGGGUGAAAGAAGCAAUUCGCCUAAAGAGGAGCUCGCGUCUGAUUAGCUAGUUGGUAGGGUAAGAGCCUACCAAGGCGACGAUCAGUAGCUGGUUUGAGAGGAUGAUCAGCCACAUUGGAACUGAGACACGGUCCAGACUCCUACGGGAGGCAGCAGUAAGGAAUAUUCUACAAUGGGCGAAAGCCUGAUAGAGCAAUACCGCGUGAGGGACGAAUGCCUACGGGUUGUAAACCUCUUUUCUCAAGGAGGAAGAACUGACGUUACUUGAGGAAUAAGCAUCGGCUAACCCUGUGCCAGCAGCCGCGGUAAUACAGGGGAUGCAAGUUUUAUUCGGAAUUAUUGGGCGUAAAGCGUCUGCAGGUUGACAUAAAAGUCUUUUGUUAAAUAUCAGAGCUCAACUCGGAAUCUGCAAAAGAUACUAUAUGUCUUGAGUAUGGUAGAGGUAAGGGGAAUUUCCAGUGGAGCGGUGAAAUGCGUAGAUAUUGGAAAGAACACCGAUAGCGAAGGCACCUUACUGGGCCAUUACUGACACUCAGAGACGAAAGCUAGGGGAGCAAACGGGAUUAGAUACCCCGGUAGUCCUAGCCGUAAACGAUGGAUACUAGAUGUUGUAUACUUUAUUGUAAACAGUGUCGUAGCUAACGCG
This 757-nucleotide ribosomal RNA is filed under the name eukaryote SCGC AAA074-D14. RNAcentral describes it as "bacterial SSU rRNA". It matches the Rfam family "Bacterial small subunit ribosomal RNA", at positions 72 to 859 of the family's 1533-position model. RNAcentral also lists the same sequence under 1 other name. The record is from RNAcentral.